GGAAGAGACAGAUUAGACUUAUUGGGAGGCUGGUAAGUUAUGCUUUAAUAUGUUAAGCUAGGUGGAAACACAAUUACUAGAAAAUAAUUUAGACCUUGGGCACCUUGGACUCAACAUGUGUUGUACUGAUGGUUUCCAGUGCCUUGGUGAUUCAUACAACUUUCUGGGAUCUUUUGAUUAACAGAGAAAAGGUAAUAAGAUCAGCAAGAAGAGAAACUGUAGAUUUGCCUCAACUCAACAUGUUAAGUAAUCGCCUGACAUCUACAUAAGACCACCUCUUGGCACCUGGCUACACAAGCUGAAAUGGUAAAACUCCUUGAGAAACCACACAAGGAUGGAAUACUUGCUUAGAGACAUGAGAGUAGCCUAGAAUCUAAGAAUCUGUACUUCCUUCUACAGUUGUCUUUGGAAAAAGAAUAGACAUUCAUGGCAGACCAAAGAUCACUCUCUGAAGGUGUUGUGUGAGAAAUCCACAUAGGAGCAACCCAAGAAAACCAUGCAGGUAAAUGCUAGCCUGGAAAGACAGAGGGAAAACAUGCCAAGUGGAGCCCACCAGAAGGACAGCAGUCAGAGCUCAAGAGCCCAGCUUUAAAAGGCAUGUGUUCACUGAUGUGCUUUAAAAUCUGUAAUAAACUGCAGUAUACUCUGGUAGUGAGGAAGAGUUGAGGCACCUGGAGAACUGGAAGACUAUUUGAAGAAGAUGAUGAUACCUACUGAUCACGUGAGUCAAGACUUUGGAGUCUUGUCUGAGGAUUACAUGAGUGGCCU
Molecule: long non-coding RNA, 768 nt
Organism: Pan troglodytes (chimpanzee)
Lineage: Eukaryota; Metazoa; Chordata; Mammalia; Primates; Hominidae
Exons: 3
Source: RefSeq, a predicted model, not a curated record